This 438-nucleotide ribosomal RNA is filed under the name uncultured bacterium. RNAcentral's name for it is "bacterial SSU rRNA". It matches the Rfam family "Bacterial small subunit ribosomal RNA", at positions 352 to 782 of the family's 1533-position model. The record is from RNAcentral.
CAGCUAAGAAUCUUCCGCAAUGGGCGAAAGCCUGACGGAGCGAUGCCGCGUGAUCGAUGAAGGUCGAGAGAUUGUAAAGAUCUUUUCCACAUGAGGAAUAAGUCUUGGAGGGAAUGCCAGGAUGAUGACGUUAGUGUGGGAAUAAGCCCCGGCUAAUUACGUGCCAGCAGCCGCGGUAACACGUAAGGGGCGAGCGUUGUUCGGAAUUAUUGGGCGUAAAGGGCACGCAGGCGGCCUGACAAGUCUGAUGUGAAAGACCUGGGCUUAACUCAGGGAACGCGUUGGAAACUGUCAAGCUAGAGUAUUAGAGGGGGAGUUGGAAUUCCUAGUGUAGGGGUGAAAUCUGUUGAUAUUAGGAAGAACACCGGUGGCGAAGGCGAACUCCUGGCUGAAUACUGACGCUGAGGUGCGAAAGCAUAGGGAGCAAACAGGAUUAGA